This 827-nucleotide ribosomal RNA is filed under the name uncultured Chitinophaga sp. Its description in RNAcentral is "bacterial SSU rRNA". It matches the Rfam family "Bacterial small subunit ribosomal RNA", at positions 56 to 876 of the family's 1533-position model. Lineage: Bacteria; Pseudomonadati; Bacteroidota; Chitinophagia; Chitinophagales; Chitinophagaceae. The record is from RNAcentral.
UGCAAGUCGAGGGGCAGCAGGUUUGUAGCAAUACAGAUGCUGGCGACCGGCAAACGGGUGCGGAACACGUACACAACCUUCCUUUAAGUGGGGGAUAGCCCAGAGAAAUUUGGAUUAAUACCCCUUAAAAUUAUGAGAUGGCAUCAUUUUAUAAUUAAAGCUCCGGCGCUUAGAGAUGGGUGUGCGGCUGAUUAGGUAGUUGGUGAGGGUAACGGCCCACCAAGCCUGCGAUCAGUAACUGGUGUGAGAGCACGACCAGUCACACGGGCACUGAGACACGGGCCCGACUCCUACGGGAGGCAGCAGUAAGGAAUAUUGGUCAAUGGACGCAAGUCUGAACCAGCCAUGCCGCGUGGAGGAUGAAGGUCCUCUGGAUUGUAAACUUCUUUUAUCUGGGAAGAAAUCCAUUUUUUCUAAAGUGGUUGACGGUACCAGACGAAUAAGCACCGGCUAACUCCGUGCCAGCAGCCGCGGUAAUACGGAGGGUGCAAGCGUUAUCCGGAUUCACUGGGUUUAAAGGGUGCGUAGGUGGGCAGGUAAGUCAGUGGUGAAAUCUCCGGGCUUAACCCGGAAACUGCCAUUGAUACUAUCUGUCUUGAAUGCCGUGGAGGUGAGCGGAAUAUGUCAUGUAGCGGUGAAAUGCUUAGAUAUGACAUAGAACACCAAUUGCGAAGGCAGCUCACUACACGAAUAUUGACACUGAGGCACGAAAGCGUGGGGAUCAAACAGGAUUAGAUACCCUGGUAGUCCACGCCCUAAACGAUGGAUACUCGACAUACGCGAUACACAGUGUGUGUCUGAGCGAAAGCAUUAAGUAUCCCACCUGG